Molecule: ribosomal RNA, 437 nt
Filed under: uncultured Lachnospiraceae bacterium
Lineage: Bacteria; Bacillati; Bacillota; Clostridia; Lachnospirales; Lachnospiraceae
Description: partial 16S ribosomal RNA
Rfam family: Bacterial small subunit ribosomal RNA
Source: RNAcentral
ACGGGAGGCAGCAGUGGGGAAUAUUGGGCAAUGGGCGCAAGCCUGACCCAGCAACGCCGCGUGAAGGAAGAAGGUUUUCGGAUUGUAAACUUCUGUCCUUGGUGACGAAGGAAGUGACGGUAGCCAAGGAGGAAGCCCCGGCUAACUACGUGCCAGCAGCCGCGGUAAUACGUAGGGGGCAAGCGUUAUCCGGAUUUACUGGGUGUAAAGGGAGCGUAGACGGCAAGGUAAGUCUGAAGUGAAAUGCCGGGGCUCAACCCCGGAACUGCUUUGGAAACUAUCUCGCUCGAGUACCGGAGGGGUAAGCGGAAUUCCUAGUGUAGCGGUGAAAUGCGUAGAUAUUAGGAGGAACACCAGUGGCGAAGGCGGCUUACUGGACGGUAACUGACGUUGAGGCUCGAAAGCGUGGGGAGCAAACAGGAUUAGAUACCCUGGUA